This 258-nucleotide long non-coding RNA is filed under the name Callithrix jacchus (white-tufted-ear marmoset). RNAcentral's name for it is "lncRNA (ENSCJAG00000051831.2)". Lineage: Eukaryota; Metazoa; Chordata; Mammalia; Primates; Cebidae. The record is from RNAcentral.
GAGAAGCACUCUGAUCCAGACAGGGAUUUACACCUAAAGUUCCAACUCCACCAUGUCUUCAGAACAGUUCUUCUGGACCUUGCAUCCAAUUGUGAUGAGAGUGCCAAGAAAUAAGAUAGAAACGCCAAGAAGAACCAAUUUGGGGUGAGUAGGCGUGCAAAGGAUGACUGAUUGAUAAAUUGGGUUUAGGAGUCAAGAGUUAUGCUCUAACAAUUGGGUAUAGCAGAAGGUAUUCAAAUAAGAAAUUGCUGGUAUUCU